This 319-nucleotide ribosomal RNA is filed under the name uncultured bacterium. RNAcentral describes it as "bacterial SSU rRNA". It matches the Rfam family "Bacterial small subunit ribosomal RNA", at positions 29 to 339 of the family's 1533-position model. The record is from RNAcentral.
AAUGAACGCUGGCGGCGCGCCUAAUACAUGCAAGUCGAGCGAGAAGACGUAGCAAUACGUUUGUAAAGCGGCGAACGGGUGAGGAAUACAUGGGUAACCUACCCUAGAGUGGGGAAUAACUAGCCGAAAGGUUAGCUAAUACCGCGUACGCUCCUUGGACUUCGGUUCAGGGAGGAAAGCGAUGCCGAGGGUAUCGCGCUCUUGGAUGGGCUCAUGUCCUAUCAGCUUGNGGUGAGGUAACGGCUCACCAAGGCUUCGACGGGUAGCUGGUCUGAGAGGACGAUCAGCCACACUGGCACUGCGACACGGGCCAGACUCC